Molecule: long non-coding RNA, 1723 nt
Organism: Oncorhynchus tshawytscha (Chinook salmon)
Lineage: Eukaryota; Metazoa; Chordata; Actinopteri; Salmoniformes; Salmonidae
Source: Ensembl
UUCUCUCUGUUCUCUCUGUCUCUCUGUUCUCUGUCUCUCUAUUCUCUCUGUCUCUCUGUUCUCUCUGUCUCUCUAUUCUCUGUCUCUCUGUCUCUCUGUUCUCUCUGUCUAUCUAUUCUCUCUCUCGCUCUCUAUUCUCUCUCUCUAUUCUCUCUGUCUCUCUGUUCUCUCUGUCUCUCUGUUCUCUCUGUCUCUCUAUUCUCUCUGUCUCUCUGUUCUCUCUGUCUCUCUAUUCUCUCUGUCUCUCUCCCUACGACAGUAGUGGCUGUAGGAUGCAAUUACUUAACGUUGUUCAUUGUGGUUUUAAUAUCUAUGAUUUCCCAGCUAUGUUUACCUGACUAGCUGAGCCGUGUACAGGAUAUACUGGAGGUCAAAAGGACUCUAUGGACACCUCUUCUGCACAUCUUACAACUACCGGUAUGCAACAUUGAAGGAAAAAAAUUGCCGACAAAUGCAUAUGCAUACACAGCUGCUCUAGGUUGACCCACUACUGUGAAAAUUAAGACCUUGCUAGAUUAUUUUUCAAAUAAUAUUUAUGACUUGUAUAUAGUUUACUUUACAUACAUACACACACAUACAUAUGAAGGUGGAAUUGUGGUUUACACUAAUCUGAGUAACGAAACAACACCAGUAAAAUAUAAAUUCUGUUUUUUUUUCAGCAAGUUUGAAAUUUAAUGAACAUAAACAAGUACAUAAGCUGCUAUUUCCAUCAUUUGUAAAAAGCCCCCCCCCCAAAAAAAAAGCUCCAGUAAUUUGCAAAAUAAAGAAAAAGCCAUAAAAACUCAAACAAAUAAAAAUAUUUGGCCUCCUUGUUGUGGUAAUAUCAACAAUAUAUUCCAUAUGUAUUGUAAUAUAUUACCAUUAAUCCACAUGUCUAUAAGGCACCAAACGCUAAAUGGCACAAUCAUAGAAUAACUUUAUUCACUAUAAUUGUGCAGAAAAUACAAAGACAUCCAGAUCAACAGAAACACUCAAUCACAAAUUGGAUCAAAGGAAAUAUACUGCCGACCAUUAUAUUGUGUUGUUUAUUGGUCUCCAUUCAACUGAUUUAGGUUUUUCUGUCAAAAUGUGGGGAAACUGUAGAUUUCUGUAAAACUUUUGAGUUCCUUCUGAAUUGACAGUCAUGAGCUGUCAUCACUUGGUGUUCUCGAUUAUGCCUCCAGUUCAACAAUAUGCUCCUCCUUCUUUCCUGAGAUCAAAUCAAAUCAAAUCAAAUUUUAUUUGUCACAUACACAUGGUUAGCAUGAGAUUCAGGAAACUGUGUUACCGUAGCUGAAAUACAAACGCGAUCAUGAAUCUAAAUGAAUAAUGAAUGGAUUAGGCAUCAAAUUAUAAUCCCAUCAUUCAUAAAUAGUAACUAUUUUUUCAGUACAUCAUUUCUCAUCCAUUAACACAACAGGCAUAUUUAAAAAAAUCUGAAGUAAAAAAAAAAAAAAAAAAUCUUUGACAAUGUUUGGUAUAUGAAUGUGUUUCAAGUGUAAAUAUAGCAGAUGUAACAAUCCGUUCUCAACACUGUUGUUAGCAUGAUAUAACAUGUAAUAUCACAAAAUUCAACAUCCACCAGGAUCACAUUACUGUUCUAAGACAGAUAUUGCAAAAAUAGUCAUAUGAAAUCACUGGUCACUGAAUGAUGCAAUAAAACUACAUGCUGCUCAUUUGCCUUCACUGUCUUCUAUGUUUGGGGUGGCAGGUAGCCUAGUGGUUUAAACCAGGUAGCCUAGGG